UAUCAGAAGAAGCUGAUGAAGCAGCAUU
This 28-nucleotide small RNA is filed under the name Bombyx mori (domestic silkworm). RNAcentral describes it as "ovarian small RNA-23513". Lineage: Eukaryota; Metazoa; Arthropoda; Insecta; Lepidoptera; Bombycidae. The record is from RNAcentral.